AUUGAACGCUGGCGGCAUGCUUUACACAUGCAAGUCGAACGGGCUGGGGGCAACUCCAGUCAGUGGCGAACGGGUGAGUAAUGCAUCGGAACGUGUCCCGUAGUGGGGGAUAACCCGGCGAAAGCCGGACUAAUACCGCAUAUGCUCUACGGAGGAAAGUGGGGGACCGGAAACGGCCUCACGCUAUGGGAGCGGCCGAUGUCCGAUUAGCUUGUUGGUGGGGUAAUGGCCUACCAAGGCGACGAUCGGUAGCUGGUCUGAGAGGAUGAUCAGCCACACUGGGACUGAGACACGGCCCAGACUCCUACGGGAGGCGAGCAGUGGGGAAUUUUGGACAAUGGGGGCAACCCGUGAUCCAGCCAUGCCGCGUGCGGGAAGAAGGCCU
This 385-nucleotide ribosomal RNA is filed under the name uncultured bacterium. Its description in RNAcentral is "bacterial SSU rRNA". It matches the Rfam family "Bacterial small subunit ribosomal RNA", at positions 29 to 417 of the family's 1533-position model. The record is from RNAcentral.